RNAcentral lists this ribosomal RNA (2647 nucleotides) under Burkholderia cenocepacia. Its description in RNAcentral is "partial 23S ribosomal RNA". It matches the Rfam family "Bacterial large subunit ribosomal RNA". The record is from RNAcentral. Lineage: Bacteria; Pseudomonadati; Pseudomonadota; Betaproteobacteria; Burkholderiales; Burkholderiaceae.
GAAGCGAACGCGGUGAACUGAAACAUCUAAGUAACCGCAGGAAAAGAAAUCAACCGAGAUUCCCAAAGUAGUGGCGAGCGAAAUGGGAUGAGCCUUGCACUCUUUAUUUGUAUUGUUAGCCGAACGCUCUGGAAAGUGCGGCCAUAGCAGGUGAUAGCCCUGUAGGCGAAAACAGUAUGAAAGAACUAGGUGUGCGACAAGUAGGGCGGGACACGUGAAAUCCUGUCUGAAGAUGGGGGGACCAUCCUCCAAGGCUAAAUACUCGUGAUCGACCGAUAGUGAACCAGUACCGUGAGGGAAAGGCGAAAAGAACCCCGGGAGGGGAGUGAAAUAGAUCCUGAAACCGCAUGCAUACAAACAGUCGGAGCCUCGUAAGGGGUGACGGCGUACCUUUUGUAUAAUGGGUCAGCGACUUACGUUCAGUAGCAAGCUUAACCGUAUAGGGCAGGCGUAGCGAAAGCGAGUCCGAAUAGGGCGUUCAGUUGCUGGGCGUAGACCCGAAACCAGGUGAUCUAUCCAUGGCCAGGAUGAAGGUGCGGUAACACGUACUGGAGGUCCGAACCCACUAACGUUGAAAAGUUAGGGGAUGAGCUGUGGAUAGGGGUGAAAGGCUAAACAAACCUGGAAAUAGCUGGUUCUCUCCGAAAACUAUUUAGGUAGUGCCUCGUGUCUCACCUUCGGGGGUAGAGCACUGUCAUGGUUGGGGGGUCUAUUGCAGAUUACCCCGCCAUAGCAAACUCCGAAUACCGAAGAGUGCAAUCACGGGAGACAGACAUCGGGUGCUAACGUCCGGUGUCAAGAGGGAAACAACCCAGACCGCCAGCUAAGGUCCCCAAAUAUAGCUAAGUGGGAAACGAAGUGGGAAGGCUAAAACAGUCAGGAGGUUGGCUUAGAAGCAGCCACCCUUUAAAGAAAGCGUAAUAGCUCACUGAUCGAGUCGUCCUGCGCGGAAGAUGUAACGGGGCUAAGCUAUAUACCGAAGCUGCGGAUGCGAGCUUGCUCGCAUGGUAGGAGAGCGUUCCGUAAGCCUGCGAAGGUGCCUUGUAAAGGGUGCUGGAGGUAUCGGAAGUGCGAAUGCUGACAUGAGUAGCGAUAAAGGGGGUGAAAGGCCCCCUCGCCGUAAGCCCAAGGUUUCCUACGCAACGUUCAUCGGCGUAGGGUGAGUCGGCCCCUAAGGCGAGGCAGAAAUGCGUAGCUGAUGGGAAGCAGGUCAAUAUUCCUGCACCAUUGUUAGAUGCGAUGGGGGGACGGAUCGCGGAAGGUUGUCCGGGUGUUGGAAGUCCCGGUCGCUGCAUUGGAGAAGGCGCUUAGGCAAAUCCGGGCGCGUAAUUCAAGGGUGUGGCGCGAGCUCCUUAGGGAGCGAAGCAAUUGGAAGUGGUUCCAAGAAAAGCCUCUAAGCUUCAGUCUAACGAUGACCGUACCGCAAACCGACACAGGUGGGCGAGAUGAGUAUUCUAAGGCGCUUGAGAGAACUCGGGAGAAGGAACUCGGCAAAUUGGUACCGUAACUUCGGGAUAAGGUACGCCCUUGUAGCUUGACCAGCCUGCGCUGGAAGGGUGAAGGGGUUGCAAUAAACUGGUGGCUGCGACUGUUUAAUAAAAACACAGCACUCUGCAAACACGAAAGUGGACGUAUAGGGUGUGACGCCUGCCCGGUGCCGGAAGAUUAAAUGAUGGGGUGCAAGCUCUUGAUUGAAGUCCCGGUAAACGGCGGCCGUAACUAUAACGGUCCUAAGGUAGCGAAAUUCCUUGUCGGGUAAGUUCCGACCUGCACGAAUGGCGUAACGAUGGCCACACUGUCUCCUCCCGAGACUCAGCGAAGUUGAAGUGUUUGUGAUGAUGCAAUCUACCCGCGGCUAGACGGAAAGACCCCAUGAACCUUUACUGUAGCUUUGCAUUGGACUUUGAACCGAUCUGUGUAGGAUAGGUGGGAGGCUAUGAAACCGGAACGCUAGUUUCGGUGGAGCCGUCCUUGAAAUACCACCCUGGUUUGUUUGAGGUUCUAACCUUGGCCCGUGAUCCGGGUCGGGGACAGUGCAUGGUAGGCAGUUUGACUGGGGCGGUCUCCUCCCAAAGCGUAACGGAGGAGUACGAAGGUACGCUAGGUACGGUCGGAAAUCGUGCUGAUAGUGCAAUGGCAUAAGCGUGCUUAACUGCGAGACCGACAAGUCGAGCAGGUGCGAAAGCAGGUCAUAGUGAUCCGGUGGUUCUGUAUGGAAGGGCCAUCGCUCAACGGAUAAAAGGUACUCUGGGGAUAACAGGCUGAUACCGCCCAAGAGUUCAUAUCGACGGCGGUGUUUGGCACCUCGAUGUCGGCUCAUCUCAUCCUGGGGCUGUAGCCGGUCCCAAGGGUAUGGCUGUUCGCCAUUUAAAGAGGUACGUGAGCUGGGUUUAAAACGUCGUGAGACAGUUUGGUCCCUAUCUGCCGUGGGCGUUGGAUAUUUGAAGGGGGCUGCUCCUAGUACGAGAGGACCGGAGUGGACGAACCUCUGGUGUACCGGUUGUCACGCCAGUGGCAUCGCCGGGUAGCUAUGUUCGGAAGAGAUAACCGCUGAAAGCAUCUAAGCGGGAAACUCGCCUUAAGAUGAGAUAUCCCUGGGGACUAGAUCCCCUUGAAGGGUCGUUCGAGACCAGGACGUUGAUAGGUC